AAAACACUGAGAUCUCUAUUUAGCACGGAGCAGAAGCGCCAUGGCUUCGUGCUGUUCAUUGAGCUUCUCAACAGUCUCUUCAAAGCCUAACAAGCCUUACUCAUCACCAAUUUCUUCUUCUCUUGAGCUCCCCUUUACUUCCCAGUUGCCAUUUUCUAAAAAAUAUUCACUUUAUUCCAAUCAUACCCUUCUCCAAACUCAAUGCCGGAAAACCCAAUCACCGGAUUGUCCCAGUUUCUUGGUUGUGGGAUCUGCGAAAAAGCAAGAACCUUUGAGGGUAAUGAUAUCGGGAGCUCCUGCUUCUGGUAAAGGAACGCAAUGCGAGCUCAUUACCAAGAAGUACGAUUUGGUGCAUAUUGCUGCUGGAGAUUUAUUGAGGGCUGAAAUUGCUGCAGGCACUGAAAAUGGGAGGAGAGCAAAGGAGUAUAUGGAUAAAGGACAAUUGGUACCAAACGAGAUAGUUGUAACGAUGGUCAAAGAGCGGUUGAUGUGUCCAGACUCUCAAGAAAAGGGUUGGCUUUUAGAUGGAUAUCCUCGGAGCUUGUCUCAAGCAGUAGCUCUCAAAGAGUUCCAGCCAAACCUUUUCAUUCUUCUGGAAGUACCUGAAGAGAUACUUGUUGAGAGAGUGGUUGGCCGUAGACUAGAUCCUGUAACUGGGAGAAUAUACCAUUUGAAGUAUUCUCCGCCAGAGACCGAUGAAAUCGCUGCAAGGCUUACCCAGCGCUUUGAUGAUACAGAAGAAAAGGUGAAGCUGCGUCUGCACACUCACCGUCAAAAUGUGGAAUCAGUUCUCUCAAUGUACAAAGAUACUAUAUUCCAGGUGGACGGGAGCGUUUCCAAAGAGGAAGUAUUUGCUCAAAUUGAUGGUGCAUUAACUCAACUUCUUGAAGCAAAGGAGUGAAGAUUUGGAACCGUAAUGUCAUAGAGAUCAGGAAAAAUCUGCAGAAUGUACCAUGUAAUACUCAGGAGGAUCAUCGAAGACAAAAGAGUAACAUUGUUGGUUGCUAUCCCUCUUAUACAAAUGUAUGAAAUGUUUAUGUAUAUCGUAUUUGCUUCCAACUAUCUAUGUGGAUAUUCAUUGAAUCAGAUUCAAAGUUUACUACAAAACUUGUUUUGUUGUAAG
Molecule: unclassified non-coding RNA, 1123 nt
Filed under: Hevea brasiliensis (rubber tree)
Lineage: Eukaryota; Viridiplantae; Streptophyta; Magnoliopsida; Malpighiales; Euphorbiaceae
Source: RNAcentral